This 1233-nucleotide long non-coding RNA is filed under the name Bemisia tabaci. Its description in RNAcentral is "lncRNA ENSSSA3NGG004449". The record is from RNAcentral. Lineage: Eukaryota; Metazoa; Arthropoda; Insecta; Hemiptera; Aleyrodidae.
AUACACAACAGAGGGCUUUGAAAAGCAAAAUUGCUAUCAAGAAAUAUCGAGAGAAGCAUCUGUUGGUUGACAGGGUGAAAGAUAGCUCACAAGCAAGAAAAGUGGGAAACAAUAUGACUGAAAAGUUAAAGACUGAAAGAAGCUGUUUUCAAGCUCACCUGCAUCAAAUGUCUCCUGUUUUGUUAAGAGAGUUUGAACAGUGGACAAGUCUCGGCCAUAUUCUUCAGAGCGAACAUGAGAUUCUUUGUCGGCGAUCCAUGAUUCUACAACAUCGGCCUUCCACAUGAACUGCAGGUAGGCUGAGUUAUCCAUCAACUUGGCUUUACGAUGGGCAGCCAAAGAGGAGAGAUUGUCCAAUUUACUCUGAGGAAAUUCAAACAAAAAUCAAGUUGGAAAGAGAGGAAAUGUUGGGAUCACAGAAAAGAAAAUCUUGCUUAAUUGUAAGAAGGGGUAGGUGGACAUGGUUUCCUUGCAUCAACUUUAAAAUUUAAAAGAAUUCAUACAUCACAUCCGACUAAAUAUUUUUGCCUCAUUGGGUUAAAAUUAUCUGCUCUAUUGCUGGAAACAAAAAUGGACCACUCCGCAAGGUGAGAAUAUAAGUAUUAUGUUUUCCCAUCAAACUUUUAUGUAUGAUUUGCGCAAAUUUGCAUGAAAAAAAUUAUAGACAGUAGCUCUUAGUCAAGAUAGCGACGCAUUUCGAUGCAUGAGGUCAAAGUUCCUGUUUGUAAAAAAAUCAUAAUCUAGGAUUGGAGAAACAAUAAUCACCUGUAAUUGUUGACAACGCUGAAUGAUACUGUCAGAGUGAUGAUUGCCCGCUUCCAUAAGUUUGGAUCCUGCGCUGGAGAUUUCUCCGCAGCGGUCUCUAUGAACGGCAAAGUCAGUUUCAAAUGCGUCGUGUUUCUUGAGAAGACCUUGAACGGCGGCCAUGGUGUCUCCGUAAUCUUCUACGCUCAAAAGUUGUUGUUUUUCACUUAUCCAUGCUUCCUCUUCUUCAACUUUCGCCAAGAAUUGUUGAUACGUAAGAGACUCGUCCAAUUUUUGACCACGAGUGGCAGCAAGUUGUUUCAGCUCAGACCAGGCUUGGUUCAGUAAUUUUAGGCGCUAGGAGCAUAAAACAAGAGAAGAGUUAUGGACUGAAAACCUUUAAAAAAAGUGACAGGAGUAAAAAACUAGCCACGCUAAUUUUUAUGAGAAUACUUGAAUGCAGGAACAGUAGCAAAUAGAAUUAAUUGC